GACGAACGCUGGCGGCGUGCUUAACACAUGCAAGUCGAACGGGCCCGCCCCUGUUUUUGGGGGUGGGUUGAGUGGCGAACGGGUGAGUAUCACGUGAGUAACCUGCCCCCUGCUCCUGGAUAACUGCUUGAAAGGGCGGCUAAUACGGGGUGUGCCGGCUGGUCCGCAUGGGCCUGGUCGGGAUAGUUUCAUCUUCGGGUGUUUCGGUGGGGGAUGGGCUCGCGGCCUAUCAGCUUGUUGGUGGGGUGAUGGCCCACCAAGGCGGUGACGGGUAGCCGGCCUGAGAGGGUGGGCGGCCACACUGGGACUGAGACACGGCCCAGACUCCUGCGGGAGGCAGCAGUGGGGGGUAUUGCACAAUGGGCGGAAGCCUGAUGCAGCGACGUCGCGUGAGGGAUGGAGGCCUUCGGGUUGUGAACCUCUUUCUCCGGUGGUGAAGGCCCUGUCCGUUGCGGCGGGGUUGACGGUAGCCAGGUAUGAAGCGCCGGCCAACUACGUG
RNAcentral lists this ribosomal RNA (499 nucleotides) under uncultured bacterium. Its description in RNAcentral is "partial 16S ribosomal RNA". It matches the Rfam family "Bacterial small subunit ribosomal RNA", at positions 28 to 507 of the family's 1533-position model. The record is from RNAcentral.